GACGAACGCUGGCGGCGUGCCUAAUACAUGCAAGUAGAACGCUGAAGAGAGGAGCUUGCUCUUCUUGGAUGAGUUGCGAACGGGUGAGUAACGCGUAGGUAACCUGCCUUGUAGCGGGGGAUAACUAUUGGAAACGAUAGCUAAUACCGCAUAACAAUGGAUGACACAUGUCAUUUAUUUGAAAGGGGCAAUUGCUCCACUACAAGAUGGACCUGCGUUGUAUUAGCUAGUAGGUGAGGUAAUGGCUCACCUAGGCGACGAUACAUAGCCGACCUGAGAGGGUGAUCGGCCACACUGGGACUGAGACACGGCCCAGACUCCCACGGGAGGCAGCAGUAGGGAAUCUUCGGCAAUGGGGGCAACCCUGACCGAGCAACGCCGCGUGAGUGAAGAAGGUUUUCGGAUCGUAAAGCUCUGUUGUAAGUCAAGAACGGGUGUGAGAGUGGAAAGUUCACACUGUGACGGUAGCUUACCAGAAAGGGACGGCUAACUACGUG
This 497-nucleotide ribosomal RNA is filed under the name uncultured bacterium. RNAcentral's name for it is "partial 16S ribosomal RNA". It matches the Rfam family "Bacterial small subunit ribosomal RNA", at positions 28 to 507 of the family's 1533-position model. The record is from RNAcentral.